RNAcentral lists this small RNA (69 nucleotides) under Arabidopsis thaliana (thale cress). RNAcentral's name for it is "ATSL216740". The record is from RNAcentral. Lineage: Eukaryota; Viridiplantae; Streptophyta; Magnoliopsida; Brassicales; Brassicaceae.
UUUUUUUUGGCGGGAAAAAGAUUUACAAGUGAUUUUAAAAGGGUUUUAAAAGAUUUACAAGAGAUUUUC